RNAcentral lists this unclassified non-coding RNA (4121 nucleotides) under Monomorium pharaonis (pharaoh ant). Its description in RNAcentral is "delta(14)-sterol reductase LBR-like, transcript variant X4". The record is from RNAcentral. Lineage: Eukaryota; Metazoa; Arthropoda; Insecta; Hymenoptera; Formicidae.
ACAUGUUUCAGAUAUUGUGGCUGCAUUCCGUUUCACGUAUGAUGCGCAUAAUGCAUUGUUUAUCUUUGUUUAACAUCAGACAAACAACAAAGAUGAAUGAUUAUGCGCAUUAUGCGUGAAACGGAACGCAGAUUGUGUUAUGUAUGUUUUUGAAACAUCUUAUUUAUAAAAGAACAAUAAGAUUUUGUACUGGGAAAUCUCCAACCACGUUUAGGAAAUUACCCAUUCGUAACACGCGUCUUGCUAAAAUAUUUUUAUCCCGCAUAGACGUUGAAGACAAAGCGAGUAAUCAUAAAAAAAGCGAUGCAAAGGCACUGGAAAAUUCAACUGAAUCAUUGCUUCUGCAAAUGUGUAUGAAGAGAGAAAUUAUGUUGGUAACACAUGGACCGACGCUUCUGAAGACUGAGCAGGAACAUAAAUCUGUAACGAGAAGCAUCGACAGAGCUGUCUCGCUCUCACGGGAGAGAAAAAAUUACAUACAAGAUUAUCCUCUGGGUGAAAAAGGAAGAGAAUGUUCCAUGCAAAGAGAUUUGACAAAACCCUUGCAAGAAGAUGAGACAGAUGUGAAACGUGAAAAAGAGAUAAAUAGAGUUGACAAAUCACAAGAAUGGGGUAAAUGGAUCGGGACAUGUCUUCUCAUAUUUAUAUUACCGUUGUCUGUAAUCUUACCACAAUUCUUGUGCUCGAAAGGACAAUGCAAAACUGCACUUGUAAAACUUUCUAUUGAUUGGAAGUCUUAUAUAAAUUUAUAUUCAUUAUCCUAUGUUGCAUUUUUAAUAUUAUUGACUUGUACAUCGAUUAUACCAAUUGGGAAAACCAUAGACGGACAGCAAAGUAAAACCAGAAGACUUCAGUAUUGUGUAAAUGGCUAUUUGAGCACUAUAGUGAUGCUAAUUGGACUUGGUUUAUAUAUAUAUAUGAAUAUAUCAGUUAGCAAUUACAUCAUCAAUAAUAUUGUACAAUUUUCAAUCAGUAGCUGGAUUGUGGGAACGAUUUUAGCUGUGGAAUUAUACAUUAAGGGCAGAGAAAUUAAUCCGCGAAUUGGCACUUUGGACAUUAAACUGCUGUUAAUAAGAGCUUCUCUCAUUGGCAUGUUGAUUGUAAAUAUAGCCAUUGCUAUUAAAGCUGUUGACGACGUAAAAAGUUCAAAUAUUGAGGAACUUGAUAUAGCUACAUUGUUAGUUGUCUUGCUGCAGCUAUUCUAUGUUAUACAUGGACUAAUAUACGAAGCUUUUAUCUUUACUUCUUUUACAAUAAUGUACAAAGAAACUGGAUACAUGACGACAUGCAUUAGUCACUUACUAUACUCAUUCUUAACGACUCUCACCGCAAAAUACAUAUUGUACCAUAAGCUGAAAUUUAAUUAUUUUACUGGUACAUUUGUUUUGAGCUUCGUAAUAGGAUAUGCUUUGUAUAGGAUUAAUAAUUGCAUAAAGAUGAAUUCAGAAAGAAUCCAGUUUUGCCGACAGUACCUUAUUUGGAAACUAUUUUUAUCAUGUCAUCCAGGUAUGAUGCCACAAGUUGUGCUGACACGUUGUAAGAUACAAGAAGAAAAACAUAAAGAUAACAUUUGUUCUUUAUCUGGAAACACAAAUAUUUACUCUAACUUUAAUAAUUUAAGUAUUUUGCCAACAGUAAAUGAUUUGAUUGAAAAAAAAGUAAAUAAUUGUUUUAUGGAUUCCAGUGAAUUUUCGGAUUUAUUAAAUACAGAAAAAGCUAUUGAAAGUGAUCCUGAUUAUGUGCAAGGUGAAUAUUCAUCAGUUACGAGUGAUUCUGAAGAAACAGAGGGAUCAGAACAUGAGAAUUGCGAUAAAUAUAAAAAGCACUUUUCUAGUACGCAUAAUAAUGAUUCGACGGGCAUAUCUUCAGGUAUGGAUGUAUGGAUGUUAGCAACAUUGUGGGCGAAUGUGAAACUCGACAAGACAAGCAAUCGAUAGUACCGACAAAACGUGCUGGCACAAAAAAAUAUAUGUGCGUCUUCUGUCGUAAAAUGCAAGCGAAGAUUGUUCGACAUUUCGAAAUUGUUCAUUCUAAAGAACCGGAUGUUCAAAAAUUCAAAUAUUUACCUAAAGGUUCAAUGGAAAAAAGAAAUAUUAUCGACACGUUAAGAAAAAGAGGAAAUUUUCAAUUUAACAUUGAGAAACAGUAUGAAGGACAUGGUUUUAUUCCAUGCAGGUCAAAUAGGAGAAAGAAGUCGUACUGUUAAAGUAAUGGGUCAGAGAUUAGAGGGCAAAUGUCUUAAAGAAGCUGAUGAGAGAGUACGGCGACUAAUAUUACCAGCAAUGAGAAACGAUGACGUCACGUGGAAUAUUCGUUACGAUACUUUAUUAAUACUACAUGCGUAUUUUCAGUGCAAAAAAUAUAGGCACUCAUCACAUCAUUUACAAAUGAUUCGAUCUCGAUUGUAGCUUGUAAGACGUUUAUUGAUAGCGAUGAGAAAUAUUAAUAAUAUAAAGUCUUUGAUUUCUAUUUACGAUCCAAAAUAUUACGAUACAUUCUUAGAUGCCAUAAAUAUUGUUGCACAAUAUAACGAAGAAACAGAUAUCUAUGAAAAGCCUGCUGUUGCAUCUAAUCUUGGUACCUACGUGAAGCAUACUGGCGAACUUUUAAUAACAAAAUGCAUAAAGGAACACGAUGACAAUACAAAAACAAAUCCAGAAAAUUUUCCAAAAUCGUUUGUCGAUUAUGGAACUAGUGUCAAUAAAACAGUAAUCGAAUCUCAAACUCAAUUUAAAAGACAAAAAAUUGUGAAACUUCCUGCAAUAGAAGACGUACGAAAAUUGCGGAAUCAUGUAUAGAAAAUGCAAAAGGAAUCGUACAAUAGUUUGAAAAAUUCUGGUAAAAAUGAAUUUUUAUUUUCUGCAUGGAUUUCUCUUGGAGAAGCUACUUUAACAUCAAUACAAUUAUUUAAUCGUCGUCAGCCAGGAAAAACGGAGCGAAUAUUGAUUUCUGAUUUUAACAAUUAUGAAAGAAUUAAUGAAAACGUUGAAACGUUCAGUGGAUUAUAUAAAGAACAAAAAGAUUUGGCACGAAAAUAUGUGCGAUUUUAUAUACGCGGAAAGUUAGAAAAAACUGUUUCUAUGAUAUUAGAUGAACUUAAUUUGGAAUAUGCUCAAACAUUUUUACAAUUAAGAAGUAAAACCAGAGUACCCUCGAAAAAUCCUUAUUUAUUUGGUAUUCCAGGACAUGACAAAAAUGUUAAUAAAUGAUUAGAUGCAUAUCGAGCCAUGACAUAUUUUGCUAAAGAAUACGGUACUGAAUUUUCUAAUACAUUAACUAGCACUACACUCAGGAAACACAUUGCUACUAUUAGAAUUACUUUUAAUUUAACAGAUACUCAAAUUACAGAUCUGACUAAUUUUAUGGACUAUCAUGAAAAAAUCCCCAAGGAAAUAUACAGAAAAUCAGUAGUGGUUGAAGAUAUUACAGCAGUCUCACAACUUCUAGAAGCCACACAAAGCAUUAGAGAUUCAGCGAAUAAUUUAAUUGAAGAAGGCGACAGUGAGAUUGAAUAUGAAAAUAAAGACAGCACAAGUGAUGAAAUAUUUGAAGAAACUAAUUCUUUGCAACAAUCGAGUGAUAGUAAGUAGAAAAUUUAUUUCCAAAAUAUCCUAAAUAUUGAAGAUAAUUACUGACGCAAUAUUAGUGCGCAGGUACACUAAUAAAUUUAUGUAAAAUUAUAUGUAUUAUGGUGAAUAAUUUUUGAGGCACACUGUAAUAGGUAUAAAAUUUUCAUGUUUUUAUAAUUUUUUAUAUAAAUUUUGCAAUUAUUUAUUAAUUUGUUUUUUUACACUUGUGCAUACACCGUAAACAAAUUUAUUACAAAUUAAACUAUUGCAAACAUUGCAAAAUGUUGGAAGACUUUUCGACUCAGACUUAAUUUAGUCCGCUUUACAUGCAUAUAAGCGUUGUUAAUAAUUAUCAGACGUUUUACAUAAACUGUUAUUUUAUUAAUUUAACGGUUUUGUAAUACAGAUUCAUUGUUAACGCCAGUGUAUAAAAAACGUACAAAAAUGGAAAUGACAGCGAUACGUAAAAAAACAUUGAUCAAAAGGUAAGAAUAAAUGUAUACCCAAUCAGUUGAUAAUGUUUGAUAUUAAAUAAUUAUAAAGAAAAAAAAA